RNAcentral lists this ribosomal RNA (253 nucleotides) under uncultured bacterium. Its description in RNAcentral is "partial 16S ribosomal RNA". It matches the Rfam family "Bacterial small subunit ribosomal RNA", at positions 524 to 776 of the family's 1533-position model. The record is from RNAcentral.
UACAGAGGGUGCAAGCGUUGUUCGGAAUCAUUGGGCGUAAAGGGCGUGUAGGCGGUCUGUUAAGUCAUGUGUGAAAUCCCUCGGCUCAACCGGGGAACGACGCAUGAAACUGACAAGCUAGAGUACCAAAGAGGGGGGUGGAAUUCCCGGUGUAGCGGUGAAAUGCGUAGAGAUCGGGAGGAACACCGGCGGCGAAGGCGGCUGCCUGGACCAGUCCUGACGCUGAGGCGCGAAAGCUAGGGGAGCAAACAGG